Molecule: ribosomal RNA, 309 nt
Filed under: Staphylococcus aureus
Lineage: Bacteria; Bacillati; Bacillota; Bacilli; Caryophanales; Staphylococcaceae
Description: partial 23S ribosomal RNA
Rfam family: Bacterial large subunit ribosomal RNA
Source: RNAcentral
UUGAAGUUCAGGUAACACUGAAUGGAGGACCGAACCGACUUACGUUGAAAAGUGAGCGGAUGAACUGAGGGUAGCGGAGAAAUUCCAAUCGAACCUGGAGAUAGCUGGUUCUCUCCGAAAUAGCUUUAGGGCUAGCCUCAAGUGAUGAUUAUUGGAGGUAGAGCACUGUUUGGACGAGGGGCCCCUCUCGGGUUACCGAAUUCAGACAAACUCCGAAUGCCAAUUAAUUUAACUUGGGAGUCAGAACAUGGGUGAUAAGGUCCGUGUUCGAAAGGGAAACAGCCCAGACCACCAGCUAAGGUCCCAAAA